This 1073-nucleotide long non-coding RNA is filed under the name Volvox carteri. RNAcentral describes it as "long non-coding RNA (VCAR_LNC001079)". The record is from RNAcentral. Lineage: Eukaryota; Viridiplantae; Chlorophyta; Chlorophyceae; Chlamydomonadales; Volvocaceae.
GAUUCUAUGGGUGAAGGCGCGUUGCAAAUGGAUAGACGAGUUGGUGACGGAGGGGGAUUUCGGUAUGAAAUUGUUGUACCUUGGUAAGGUGCGGCGUGUAGGGAGUACGGCAUGGAGGUCUUUCCCCGUAUGUUCACUGCGUGGGUGCCACUUUGUGUCCGUUCGUGAUGUAGUGAUGUCGUACAUAUGUUCGGAGCAAAGUUUCUUGCUGUGGGUGUUUUGUGGCGCGGUGUUUUUCUCCUGUCGUGCCGGCAAGCAGCAACAGCGACAACGACAGCAAGGUCGAGCUCCAGCCCGUACACCAGCAAAUUGGCCAGGUCGGCCCAGUUCCACAAGCGCCUCAAGCCGUUGCCUCUCCUGCAUUAGUCAGAAACAUGUCGGGCAUACCAGUCAAUACAUAUCGCCGUCGAGAAGGGCACUAUCAGUGAGGUGAUCCAUUGGCGCACUAGGUAGUCACCAGCCCGGGUAGUCACCGAGGUUGCGCCGUGGUCACCUGACAUGUUAUAAAAGGAAAGCUGCUUCUUACCUGUAUUGGAGAAUUGGCGACGGUGACGGCUAACGCAGAUUGUUAUCUCGGAAGAAUUGCCGGUGGCGAAGAUAUUUAGCACGAUAAAAUGUUACAAGUUAUGUAAAGAGUAUUAUUAGCGUUCGGCAGGACUUGAGGAGAUUCCUUUGAGGAAUACCGAUCAUAGUGAGAUAAACAAAUAAGCGCAGUCACCGACCUAAAUACCGGCGCUAGCGGAAAACUCGUACAUUCCGCGAUCUAACUGCACGUACAUUCCGCGAUCUCACUGCGCCGUCCUGAUGGUGCCCAAAUGUCUAUCACUUAGCUACCGGAUAUGCAUCGGUAGCCCAUAAGGUUCUGGGGUAAGACUUCCCCAUUAGUCAGGCGUAGACCCGGGGUCAAAUCCCCUGGUCGACAACCACACGAGUUGGGAGAGGACCGUUUCCUCAACAACCUGAGUUGGUUGGCGCUCAUGCUCCUGAUCGUGGCAGCCAUAUGCACCAGUAACCCCAGCCAUGUUUCUUGCAGGCUCCUGAUCGUGGCAGCCAUAUGCACCAGUAACCUCAGC